RNAcentral lists this long non-coding RNA (10106 nucleotides) under Homo sapiens (human). Its description in RNAcentral is "HSALNT0364433". The record is from RNAcentral. Lineage: Eukaryota; Metazoa; Chordata; Mammalia; Primates; Hominidae.
CAUCCCCCCACCCCACGACAGGACCCAGUGUGUGAUGUUCCCCACUCUGUGUCCAAGUGUUCUAAUUGAAUUCCAACCUUUUAAUAAUAUGGUUGGUUCUUCCCACAACCAGCCCCCAACCUGAAGCUAAGGACUUUCAGCCACCAGUUAUCUCAUUAGCAUAAACUCAGACCCACUUACCAUCCUUUAUCACUCUUCUCUGUGCUCUGAAACACUUACCUUUUGGAAUGCAUCACCUGGAUUCCUGUUGUAUUUGACCAAUAAGAAGCACUGGCAGGAUACAGGAGGGUGGUAAGAAAGAGAACUCAGUGUACCUACUUCCUUCCCAUCAAGCUGUGGGACAAUAUGGCUGUGUGAUUCUGCUGCACAUAACUAUAGAAUGGCCUUCUCUUAUAGCAUCUUGUCUUGCUGGAUUCUGAUAACUUCCUCUUCCAGCUUAUGGGUUGCAUUAGGGUUCUCCAGAGAGACAGAACAAAUAGGAUAUAUAUAGGUAUAGUUGGAUGAGAGGGAAUUUAUUAGGGGAAUCUGCUCUUGUGAUUAUGGAGGGUGAGAAGUCCCGUGACAGGCUGUCUGCAAGCUGGGGAACCAUGGAAGCCAUGGUGAGCCUCAGUCCAAGUCUGAAAUCCUCAGAACCAUGGAACAUGAUGAUGUAACUCUCAGCCCAAGGCCAAAGGCCUGAGAACCUGGGUAACCACUGGUGCGAGUACUGGAGUUCAAAACCCAAACAACCUGGAGUUCUGAUGUCCAAGGGCAGAAGAAGAGCGUCCCAGCUCUUGAAGAGACAGCAAGGAUUUGCCUUUCCUCAGCCCUUUUGGUUCCAUCCAGGCCCCCGGCCAAUUGGAUGGUGCCUAUCCACAUUGAAGGCAGAUCUUCCCCACUCAGUCUACCUACUCAAAUGCCAGCCUCUUCUGGAAACACCCUCACAGACACACCCAGAAAUAAUGCAUUGUCAUCUCUCUAGGUAUCCCUGAAUUCAGUCAUGUCGACACCUAAAACUAACCAUCACAGGGAUGGUAGCAGCUCCUCAUAGUGACUAGCCCCAGGGUGCUUCAUCAUCAUUUGCUGUUUUCCUUUAACCCUUUUGUAAAUAGUUGCUUCAUUAGACUGUCUUCAGUCACUCCUUUUGCACAUACCAUCUAUUUCCUGAUAGGACGCUGACUGAUACAAUGGGGAUAAUAAUAGUACUGACCGCAGCCCAUGGUGGUGAGGAUUAAAUGCAUUAUGUGAGAAAUGCCUGAUUGUAGUAACCACCAUUAAAUGUCUUUCUGUCUGAUACCUCCAAGUAUGGUCAAAGCUUUCUGAAAGAUUUGGCAUAUAAGUUAAAUAAUACUGUCACUUAUCUCCUCUUCCCUAUCCUGUUUCAGAAGGAUGGGUUGAGAUUCAAGACUUUUGAACAAAUCUGUUCUAAGACAAAUGUAAAGUUUCCUCCCUCUCAUUUUUAUGGGGAUGAAAAAGGAGACAGGAACCAGGCUAGAUUCACCUACUGUGUCAGGCACUUUGUACUUUAUACAUAUAACCAUUGUACUCAGCUUAUGGCUUGGGUCAUGUUACCCACAGUGGUACCCCCAAAUAUAACAAUUUCCAAGCAUUUGCCUGCCCAUCUUACUAAGAAAUGGAGUCUUUUUAAAGGCCACCCUGCAGUUUUAUGGUCCAGGAAUCCUUAGGUGGUGCUUAUUUGCAUGCACAGAGUCAGUUCUGGCUGCUCUAGUGUCUUGUCAGGGGAGCUGGGAUUCAGAAACACCAUAUUGAGACCCGUGAACACCGUGAUAAUUGCUCCAUGCCCUCUCUUCUCCACUUGACACUGGCUGUUGCUGCUGCUGCCCCUACUCACACCAGAACUUGGAGGCUUGGCCUUUGCUUACUUGAGAGCCUGACUGGUUUCCCAGGGUCCUACUCUCUCCUGGCUGCAGGGAUGAGAAUGCUACUCUCCUGUGCACUCUCUGAGUGGGCCCAGGUCCUCCUGAUUGCGACACAAGCCUACACCUGUCCUAGGUUUUGGGAUUGGGUGGGCUACGUGUGCGUAGCCUUGAGCUGGCCUCCAACUGACAGGGGCGUCCCUAUCCCCUGCCUUGCUCCCGUGAUGUACCCUAGAUCUCUCCACCCUUUAGAAGCCUAUGUAUCCUGCCAUCCUCCUCCUCAAGCCCUGAACACAGCUUCUGAGAGCUAACUUUUUCUCAGGAUGAUUGACAGUGGAAAAUUCAAUUCCCUUCACAGGAAACCUCACCCUACCACGGGGGUGUGGUUUGGCCUCCUAUUCCAACAAAACAAUCACAAAAUAGUUCAGCGUUGUUACACUUCCCCAAAUCUGAGUAACUCAGUCUUUUCCAUGAUUAAUCUUGUUGGGCACAUUAGUUUAUUUCAUUCUCAGAACAACUUAGUGAAGCAGAUGAAAUUAUUUUCAUUUUCUAAAGGAGGAAACAGAGGCUCAGAGAGGUUAAAGGAUCUGCCCAGAGUCGUUUGGCUAGAGGCAAAGAUUAGAUUCAACAUCUAAUCUCUGGCUCCAGAGCCAGUUUCGGUUUUCUAGGAAGGAGAAUGUACAAGUUGGUCUCCUCCUAGGGAGACUGUAUUGGGAAUUGAAUAAAUAUGUUAAAGUAUCCAGCACAGGGACAGGCAGUACAAUACAUGGAUAUUCAGUACGUAUUUCUUGAACAAAAGAUGACUGGUAGGCACUCAAAACUAUAUAUAUAUAUUUUUUUUAUUUUUUAGACCACCAAAUAAUGAUCAAUAUUAUCUGAAUAUUGAUCUGAAACAACAACCAUAAAAACUCCUCUUUGCUUCCUUCAUUUAUUUCCUGCCCUUUCUGCCCUUUCCAUCCAUUCAUUCCUAUGUAUUGCAGCAGAGUCCCUGGGACACGAAAUCUCCCCUGGUUUCCCAAUAGUGCUGAUACUAUUUCUAAAAGAAACGAAACCUUUGCAGCAGCACAAUUUGGGGCGAGGCGGUAGAAGCCUAAGGAGAAUACAAAAGGACGAUUCAGGGCAGGUGGACUCAAACUUGAAUGUAAAAUUGAUCACCACUCCCCUAAUAUUGGUUUGCAAAGUGAUAUUACACAUUGCUCAGGAAGUGAGUUUUAUUUCAGGGUAUUCUAGUUGGGAGAGAGAAUGGAGUAGGAAGGGGGAAAAUGACAAUAAAUUCUGAAGAUAAAUGGUUAUCUGCUUUGGCUAAAAAAAAAAAAAAGAUCAAGGAAAGAGAUCUGGAGUAAUGGGAUAAAACAUAUAUAUGCUCACAUGCAUUCACACAGCACACACACACACACACACACACGUGCACACACGCACACACACACAUAGGAAAAUGGGAAGGGCAUUUUCCCUGCCAAAAAGAUGUUUCUACUAGAAAUAAAUGGAAGAGUGGCCAUUCAUUCCUGAAAAUUAAACACAAGCGUGACUCCCCAGAAACGAUAUUUCAUCAGUUGUUAAGCACUAAGGGAGUCUAAAGAGUGUAUAAAUUACUAGUGUGAUUUGUUCAAGGAUACUAUGAUUAUGGUUUCUGGGGCACAUUCUUGCCGGAUGAUCAUUGUGGAAUUUAUCCUGUUUGUUUUUUAUUACUCUCACACUCCUCAAAUCAGUUUUGCCCAGUGUGGACACAUUAAAUUAAUUUGAUAUUCAUGGUUUGCUCUCUCUCUCCUGCUCACCCCCUCUCCUUUCCAGUUUCUCUCCUUUUCUCACUCUCUUCUUUCCCUCCUCCAUUUCUGUCUCUGUUUUCCUAAGUCAGUUGCACCCUCCUCAGCCCCCACUCACCUCCUCUUGCUCCCUCCUCCUUUUUCCAUCUUAUAUUGGAAUAUGGACAGAAAAGGCAGUGCUUGCCUUCCUAGGGCUCUCUGCCAGAAAAUGGAAUAGGUCAGAUUAUAAAAGGGGAUAAAAAAAGAAUGUUCCUUGGCAAAAUGGGGAAAACAUGUUCAGGGAUGGUUUGCUGUCUCUUGCUGCCUGCUGCCUGCGGAAAUACACUCCUUACAGGACCCCUGCUUAUGAACAUUUAUCCCCAUGGCACAUAUGUGUGGUUAUGUUAAUGUCAAAUAUGUAUAAACAUUUAUUUCUGCUUAAUUCUCUUCCCCCUGUGACCUUUGUACCCCCAAAUCUAGAGUGGACAAGAUUACUGAUCACCUGAUGGUAAGACUUAUUAACCUUUUCUCAGGGAUUUUUUAAAAGAUUACUGGGAAGAGUGGACACUGAGACUGCUUUCAGGUUGCUGUCUAACAGUCAAUAGCUUUUGGAAACUUUAGGUUCUUAAGAAAACACAGAAGGGACAUGUGGGUACAAAACCUGGUCUGGAAUGAAUCCUGUGGAAAAUACAGGGUUUGGGGCCGGUGGGGUGGGGUACAAUAGUCUACUGCUGGGAUCUGUAAACCUGCCAGGGCUCCUUUGUCUGUCUCCCAAGGGUUUGCUGUUUACUGUCUGUUGACCAUGAAUAAAUGUCCAUUAUUGUUGCUCUUGUGGUUGGUCAGCCAGAGAGUUAGACUUUAGGCUCCUUUUAUAAAAAUAUUUACCUGCUAGCUCUAAAAGUCAUUUUCCCUCAAAUUCAAACGGCAACUCCAGACUGAGUAUUUGCUGUGAACUAAGGAGUGUGGCAGGCAGUUUUAUGUCGCUGUCUGGCUGUGGUGGGGGUUAACUUCAGGUGAACACCGGCUACCUCCCCCUCCACUGGUUCCCCUCCCAUCUUGUAGGCGGGUGAUUAGGAUCAAAAGAAUUAGCACAUUUAAAUCAUUUAGAAUAGUGCCUGAAAAUGACUAGCAUCUAAUAAAUAUUAUUCUCAUCCUACUGCUUUCCUGCUUUUUUUUUUUUUUUUUUUCCUGUCUUCCCCUCCUUGCCUUGUCACUCUCAAGUAUGGCUUCUUACCCUGAAGUCCAUUUUGUUUCUACUCUCUUAAUUCAUUUGCUGACAUUGAAAAAAGAUAGAAAAAGAAAAUAAAUUACAAAUAGCUUUAUUAAAUGCAUUAUAAUAAAAAGAGCUAAUAUUUAUUGAGUGCUUUUCAUGUGUUAGAUUAUAACAUUAUGUCAGUCAUCUUAAAACAAUCCUGUAAGACAGGUACUAUUACUUCCCUCAUCUUUCAGAUGGAGAACUGAAGCUAAGACAAGUUAAAUAACUUGCCAAAUCAUACCUGGUAAGUGGUAGGGCCAGGGCUUAAACCCAGCCCUGUUCUUCUCUAUUGCUAGGAUUCCUAACCACCAUCUUCAGUUCCAGAGCAAGUCACUAGAACCCAAACUCCUGAUUCUCAAUAACAGAUUCUUGGCAGAACCCUAAUUUGUGACUAGGUAUGUUUAACUACAAAACCUUAGCUUGACUCACUCACAAUACUGCCUACAACUUGCCACACACUGCAAGCUAGGCUCAGGCAUGUGAAGGUGAGUGAGACACAGUCCUUCCCUCAAAGAACUGGUAACUUAAUUGGGAAGAAAGAUCUAUUAACAGGAACAUUUACAACGUGGAGUUCUAGCUCCUUCAGGCCAGUGGGCACUGAUGGGCUGCAUGACCUUGGGCAAGUGAUCUAACCCCUGUGGACUUCAGUUUCCUCAUCUGUGAUAUGGGAAGGCAAAUAUCUACUUCAUAGGGUUAUUGGAAGGGGUUAAGUGAGAUAAUAUAUGUAGAGUGCCCAGCACAUAUUUGGCACUCUAUGAGCAAUUUCAAUUAUUGUUGUUAUUAUAUGGUGACUGCAAGGGGGACAUGGGACCCCAGAGAAGAGGAACCCGACUCAGUCAUGGAGGUCAAGGAGAGGCCAGGCUGGCUUUCCAGAUGAGAUCCAUCCAUCACAGUGUGACCCGAACGGCAUCAUGUAUGCCUCAGAACAGCUGGCGGCAGCCAUUGUGAGCUCUUCCUCUGGGGUCCCUGUGACCAAAUGCUGAAUAAUAAAGUGCAGAAGAAUGAAGCUGAAUCUUCUCUCCCAUACAAACCCAGAUUUAGCAUGGGAACGCUCCGAAGUGGGACUGUAACCUUGUUAUCUCCUUCCUCAAAUGCUGUCCACACCCUCAUGCCUCACAGUGUCUGUUUUGCUUACUCUUAAGAGGUCCUUAAAUUUGGCUCAGUAGUAUUCAGUGGGACAAAGCUGUUACACCAUGCUCACUUGCAUUUCACUCCUUUUUCCAUCCUUAUCAGUAUUGCUUUUUACUACUAUCAGCUUCUUAUAGCUGACAUUCCACACUGUUUACCAAAUGAGAGACUAAGGGCUCCACUAAAGGAAUUUUAGGGAUAUAACCUAGUGUAGGUAGGUUGGUAUUUGCCAGACUUAGGAAAUAAAACACAGGAGACCCAGUCAAAUUUGAAUUUCAGAUAAACAGUGAAUAUUUUUUUUAGUAUAAGUAUGUCCACUACAAUAUUUUGGACACAUAAUACUAAAAUAUUUUGUUGUUUAUCUUCAGAUAAACAGAUAAUUUGAAUUCAGAUCCAACUGGUGUUUCAUCUGGCAGCCCUAGGUGUGGGAGCAACAUCUGGGGAUGCUCUGCUCUUUGCAUUGGAUUUUGGCUUGCUCUUAGUAGGUGUGAUAAAUGGUGACUCAGUUCCAUGUCACCAGGUAUUCAGUUGCCACUUGACUCCAUUUAGGUGCUUACAUCGAUGAGACUUGAUUGCUGCUAUGCAUAUUAUUUUAUCACCUCAGUUAGAAAAUGGAUGCUUGAAAUUAACCCUUCCUACAGUAGAAAUCCUGAACAACUUCAGGGAUUUGAUGCGUGCUUCACUGUGCUCAAUAUAUAAACACAGAAGACUGCCUACUCCUGGACUGGUUAUAUGGCUUCUGGGGUCUGAAUGUUAAGGUUUUGAUUUUCUUCCAUUCUUUCUUUUAGCAGAAGCUCAUGUCUGAUCGACUCCAUUUUGGAGAGUCAGAGCAUCUUAGUGUCCUCAUAGGAGGGAAUACCCAAUGCCGUCCUCCUUAAUGCACCAUCACUCAGCCUCUGCUAGAACAUCUUCUGAGCAGGUGUUGUAUGAGUGGGGGAGGAGCUCCUGCUUCCUGAGAAAACCUGGUCUAUUGUUACACAGUGAUCAUUAUUAUAACGAUUUCUUUAUAGAGAGCUGAAACCUGACUUACUGUUUCUUACACACAGUUGUCCAUGUUUUGCCUUCUAGAGCUUUCCAACAUUUAUUUUACUGAAAUGGGAGGAGUUCCCAUAUCCCCGUCACAGGGCCUGCGACAGGGGCGUGGCUCGCUUCUUCAGUGCCUCGCUGCUCAAACUCCUAGAGGCCGCAUGCAGACAGGCAGGUUGUGGGGAGCGUUUUUGGGCUCCAAGCCCACGGCAGCAUCUAGGGUUGACUGUUUACAGCUCCCGAAGCCCCAGUGGGUGUGUGUUACAGUGUGCUCUUUCAGUUUUGCUGUCUGCAGGCCGCUUGUGUUCAUCAGCUCAGUUAGACCCUCUGCCUUAUCCCAAGGACAGAGGGCUUUCUGUAUCCUGAGUUCUUGCCCUAUUGUACCAGAAAAAUUGGAUCACACGUGGGCUUGGAGGAUGGGUGCAAGGUUUUAUUGAGUGGUGGAGGUAGCUCUGAAUGAGGUGGACGGGAAACCAGAAAGGGGAUGGAGUUGGAAUGUGACCUUCCGCUGGAGUCAGGCUGCUCAGCAGCCAGACUCUCCUCUGACUGCCCCCAACCAAAUUCCGCUGUCGAUGGCCUGCAGUGUUGGAUGGUGUCUGGUGGUGUGCUCUUCUGCUCCUCUCAACGUCCAGCCGCUUGUGUCUGUGCCCGCUAGGGUCUCGGGUUUUUAUGGGCACAGGAUGGGGGGCGUGGCAGGCCAAAAGCAGCUUUUUGGGUGCAAAAACAGAAAUGCCUGUCCUCAUUUAGGUUUGUGGGCACAGGCCCGAGGAUGGAGCCCUUGCCAGGGACCCCGCCCUUCUCUACCCAGCACUUCCCUGCCCUCCUCCUGUAUCAUUAUUAUGACCCAACAUAAGGAUAUAUUUUAUGUUUAGACCCACAAACACAAAUACAAAUAUAAAUAUAAUUAAACAGAAUUUCAUGGAAUAGCUAUUACUCUUAUUCGGCUGCAUCUGGUAUUUCCUAUUAUAUUCUAUUUCAUUUAUUUAAAAUGCGGGUCAGGACCCCGUUAAACUGAUUUCAUGACCCACAAUUGGGUGACCAACUACUGUUUGAAAAACAUUAUUGCUAUAUAGUGUUACAGAGCAAAUACAGAAUAAGUCUAUUCCUCAUUUCUUUCUAAAAGAUUUUGAAAUAUUUGAAGGUUGUCAUUAUUAUUAUGUCUUAAUCUUCUCUUUUCUACACUAGAUAUGGCCGAGUUUCCCCAUCCACUCCCAUCCUGCUCAACACCUUCUGAGUGCUUUCUAGCUGAGAAACAUUUCACUUAAAAUUUGGCACUGAGACAUGAGCACAUCACCUCACAUAUAACUUGGCCAAUACGUGGCAUUGUGGGACCAUUAGACCUCUUGAUUUCAACUCCCCUGCCUGAGUUUAUAUCAAUCAGUUAAUUAAUAUUCAUUUGGGUAUAGUUAUAAUUACUAAUUUACCUAAAAUACCUAACCUAGCCCAUUUUUUUUUUUCUGUUUUGUCUAUUUUGGUAUCUUGAAAUAUUUUUCCUAUUUGUUGGGGUGGGGGGAUGGGGAGCUCAAAUCAAGAUGAUAAUUAUUCAUGUUUCCUGGAUCUGCCCAAAACUCAGGAAAUAUAAACAAAAAGAAACUAUGUGUCUAGCACAGUCUAGCACAGCAAUAAUUAAAACUCCACGAAAAUGACCAUAUUUGGUAAGAAAAUGGCUAACAGGUUAAUAAUAGUUAAUAUUUCUAGAACACCUGCUGCAAGUUAAGCACUGGACUAAGAGCUUUACAUGUAAUUUACUCAUGAAUUUCUCACAGUCCUGUGAGGUGGAUACUAUUGUAACCACCGCUUAUGAAAUGAGGAAAAACGGCUUUACAGAAGUUAAGUCGUUCAGCCAAUAUCAUAGGACUACUAAGUGGCAGAGGAGGGGUGAUUCCAGGCCCAUCUGGCUGCUAAGUCUGUGUUUUAAAAUCUGUAACUGCUUCCCACAGAGAGGAAACCACCUCUGGUGGUUUAAAAAGAGAGAGUGCCUGUAACAUGCUGAGAAUAAUGCUUACAUGGAGGCUUAAUAAAUAGAUCUUACUGUCUCCUAUAAGAAAAGGGAACAGCUUAGUAGCAAAUUCAGGCCACUAAGAGUCCCCAGGAGUCUGUGAAAACUGUCUAGAUUCAUCACUAACCACAAUGGGGCAGGCCUCAGAGUGCUUUCCAGUCGGGAAGUAAGGUCUGGAGUCAAGAAACAUCUUUCUUGUACCCAUGAGAUGGGAGGCAACAUAAAAUAGUAGUUAAGAGCAAGAGCUUCUCACACCUGUAAUCCCAGCACUUUGGUAGGCUGAGGCAGAUGGAUCACCUGAGGUCAGGAGUUCAAGACCAGCCUGACCAACAUGGUGAAACCCCGUCUCUACCAAAAAUACAAAAAUUAGCUGAGCAUGGUGGCGCAUGCCUGCAAUCCCAGCUACUUGGAAGGAUAAGACAGGAGAAUAACUUGAACCAGGGAGGCAGAAGUUGCAGUGAGCCAAGACUGUGCCAUUGCACUCCAGCCUGGGCAAUAGAGUGAGACUCCAUCUCAAAAAAACAAAAAAGGCAAGAGUUCUGCAAAAACAGACUUGAAUCUUGGCUCUGUUAAUUUCAUUUAAUUAAUUUCAAAUUAAUUUCAGGGUUUUUUGAGGCUUUUGACACAGUUAUUAGCUAAAAAAUCAAAUGUUCAAAGAUAUGGAGCAGUGCCUAAUGUCUGGAGAGCAGCACUACCAUUUAUUAUUUCAUUUAUAGUUGGGAAAGUUUUUGAUGGUACUAACAGAUCAAAGUGGUGGCAGGAGGUUUUGGAACGGCUGGUUUAAAUGGCUUCAGGAGACUUCAGUGUUUUGUUUAGCUACAUGAUUGAAUGCGUAAUAAAUGCUUUGUGCUUUUGACUAUCAAUGCCUAGAGAAAGUGCAUCAGUGAAGAGAUGCAGGACGUUCAACUGAUUGGCAAAAAGCAAGCUUUAGCUUGUCUUACAGGAUGCUUAGUUUGCCAGUACACUUCAGACCAAUGGGAUAGUCAUAGAUGGCGUGACAGUGUUUAAAGGCAACAAAAGGCUACAUCUCCAUGUGGCCAGCACUGUCAUGAGCCUCACUAAGCUAUUUUGAAGAUUUUUAAGCAAUGAUAAAUUAAAAA